CCAAUAGAAACUAUAUUCAGAAAUCUAGGUUGGAGUUUAUACAUCUUAUCAACCUGUUCCUUCUAAAAGAGCUAUGAAUUCAGAAGAUUCGCAGCUAUCUAGAAAUUUUCCCAUCUCAACACAUUGCCUGUAACUGUCUCUGAACUGGCUACAGAAUGGAUGUUGCAUUGCCAGGCAGGAAAACAUUAUUCUCAUUGUACAUCUCCACCAGAGCUUUUGUGUGACCAGAAUACAGAAUAGGAGAAUUUCACCCAAAGGAUUCCUUCUAGUGGUGAAUAUGUGUCAGCCUGAGGGAAAGUACUUCUACAGAUACUGUCUCCACCCAACUGCGGAUGUCGUCUCAAGCAUAAAUCAGAAGAGAAGAGGAAAUAGCAAUCUGGUCUUAGAGAAAAUUGUGUUUAGUAAGUUAUCUCAUGUUCUCUGUAACUUUCUUCUUAAAGUAAUUUUUAGAAUAUC
Leopardus geoffroyi (Geoffroy's cat) is the source of this 456-nucleotide long non-coding RNA. RefSeq lists it as uncharacterized. NCBI's taxonomy places the organism in Eukaryota, Metazoa, Chordata, Mammalia, Carnivora, Felidae. The transcript has 3 exons. The record is from RefSeq and is a predicted model, not a curated record.